Non-coding RNA from Prevotella sp. CAG:1031, 425 nucleotides. It matches the Rfam family "Bacterial RNase P class A". Rfam says of the family: Ribonuclease P (RNase P) is a ubiquitous endoribonuclease, found in archaea, bacteria and eukarya as well as chloroplasts and mitochondria. NCBI's taxonomy places the organism in Bacteria, Pseudomonadati, Bacteroidota, Bacteroidia, Bacteroidales, Prevotellaceae. The record is from Rfam.
GGAGCUCGGCCUAUCGUGUCGCCGACCGACGCAUGAGCGGCCGGAGGAAAGUCCGGGCAACGAAGAGCACCAUGUUUCCUAACGGGAAGCUGUCGGUAACGGCAGAGCAAGUGUGACAGAAAAUAACCGCCGGCCAAGCCGGUAAGGGUGAAAAGGCGAGGUAAGAGCUCACCGGACCGUAUGGUGACAUACGGCGCCGCACAUCUCAUGGGUUGCAAAGCCAAGUAUACCGGCAUCUGUAAGGAUUGCUCGUCCUUUGCCGGGGGGUAGGCUGCUUGUCGGAUAUUCGCCGACAGAACGGUGUGGCAACAUACCGUCGAGAUAAAUGACACGAACAUGGCGAUGGCCGAUACCAUGCUCUUCAUUAGAGAAUCCGGUCGAAGUGUCGCCAUGACAUAACCCGGCUUAUGACCGCAGCUCCAGUC